UACAUGCAGUCGAGGGGCAGCACAGGUAGCAAUACUGGGUGGCGACCGGCAAACGGGUGCGGAACACGUACGCAACCUUCCUUCAAGCGGGGAAUAGCCCAGAGAAAUUUGGAUUAAUACCCCAUAAGAAUGUGACCUGGCAUCAGGUAGCAUUUAAAGAUUUAUCACUUGGAGAUGGGCGUGCGUCUGAUUAGGUAGUUGGUGAGGUAACGGCUCACCAAGCCGACGAUCAGUAACUGGCGUGAGAGCGCGACCAGUCACACGGGCACUGAGACACGGGCCCGACUCCUACGGGAGGCAGCAGUAAGGAAUAUUGGUCAAUGGACGGAAGUCUGAACCAGCCAUGCCGCGUGGAGGAUGAAGGCCCUCUGGGUUGUAAACUUCUUUUAUUUGGGACGAAACACUUCUUUUCUAAGGAGCUUGACGGUACCAGAUGAAUAAGCACCGGCUAACUCCGUGCCAGCAGCCGCGGUAAUACGGAGGGUGCAAGCGUUAUCCGGAUUCACUGGGUUUAAAGGGUGCGUAGGCGGACAUGUAAGUCCGUGGUGAAAUCUCUAAGCUUAACUUGGAAACUGCCAUGGAUACUAUAUGUCUUGAAUGUUGUGGAGGUUAGCGGAAUAUGUCAUGUAGCGGUGAAAUGCAUAGAUAUGACAUAGAACACCAAUUGCGAAGGCAGCUGGCUACACAAAUAUUGACGCUGAGGCACGAAAGCGUGGGGAUCAAACAGGAUUAGAUACCCUGGUAGUCCACGCCCUAAACGAUGAUUACUCGACAUACGCGAUACACAGUGUGUGUCUGAGCGAAAGCAUUAAGUAAUCCACCUGGGAAGUACGACCGCAAGGUUGAAACUCAAGAAA
Molecule: ribosomal RNA, 857 nt
Filed under: Sphingobacteriales bacterium PA16
Lineage: Bacteria; Pseudomonadati; Bacteroidota; Sphingobacteriia; Sphingobacteriales
Description: bacterial SSU rRNA
Rfam family: Bacterial small subunit ribosomal RNA
Source: RNAcentral